Molecule: ribosomal RNA, 794 nt
Filed under: uncultured bacterium
Lineage: Bacteria
Description: bacterial SSU rRNA
Rfam family: Bacterial small subunit ribosomal RNA
Source: RNAcentral
AGAGUUUGAUCCUGGCUCAGAGUGAACGCUGGCGGCAUGCCUAACACAUGCAAGUCGAACGGUAACAGGCCCGCAAGGGUGCUGACGAGUGGCGGACGGGUGAGGAAUACAUCGGAAUUUGCCCAUGUCGUGGGGGAUAACGUAGGGAAACUUACGCUAAUACCGCAUACGACCUAACGGUGAAAGCGGGGGAUCGCAAGACCUCGCGCGAUUGGAUGAGCCGAUGUCGGAUUAGCUAGUUGGUGGGGUAAAGGCCUACCAAGGCGACGAUCCGUAGCUGGUCUGAGAGGAUGAUCAGCCACACUGGGACUGAGACACGGCCCAGACUCCUACGGGAGGCAGCAGUGGGGAAUAUUGGACAAUGGGGGCAACCCUGAUCCAGCAAUGCCGCGUGUGUGAAGAAGGCCUUCGGGUUGUAAAGCACUUUUAUCCGGAACGAAACGCGCAGGGUGAAUAUCCUUGCGAACUGACGGUACCGGAGGAAUAAGCACCGGCUAACUUCGUGCCAGCAGCCGCGGUAAUACGAAGGGUGCAAGCGUUACUCGGAAUUACUGGGCGUAAAGGGUGCGUAGGUGGUUGUUUAAGUCUGCUGUGAAAGCCCCGGGCUCAACCUGGGAAUGGCAGUGGAUACUGGACAGCUAGAGUGCGGUAGAGGGUAGUGGAAUUCCCGGUGUAGCAGUGAAAUGCGUAGAGAUCGGGAGGAACACCAGUGGCGAAGGCGGCUACCUGGACCAGCACUGACACUGAAGCACGAAAGCGUGGGGAGCAAACAGGAUUAGAUACCCUAGUAGUCC